GUAGUUGACUCCUGGCUACAGAACGACGCUGGCGGCAGGCUUAACACAUGCAAGUCGAGCGGAUGUAGCAAUACAUUAGCGGCGGACGGGUGCGUAACACGUGGGAAUGUGCUCUUGGGUGGGGAAUAACGCAGGGAAACUUGCGCUAAUACCGCAUAAUGUCUUCGGACCAAAGAUUUAUCGCCCAAGAAUCAGCCCGCGGCAGAUUAGCUAGUUGGUGGGGUAAAGGCCUACCAAGGCUACGAUCUGUAGCUGGUCUUAGAGGAUGAUCAGCCACACUGGGACUGAGACACGGCCCAGACUCCUACGGGAGGCAGCAGUGGGGAAUAUUGGGCAAUGGGCGAAAGCCUGACCCAGCCAUGCCGCGUGAGUGAUGAAGGCCUUAGGGUUGUAAAGCUCUUUCAGUGGGGACGAUGAUGACGGUACCCACAGAAGAAGCCCCGGCUAACUUCGUG
This 455-nucleotide ribosomal RNA is filed under the name uncultured Alphaproteobacteria bacterium. RNAcentral's name for it is "bacterial SSU rRNA". It matches the Rfam family "Bacterial small subunit ribosomal RNA", at positions 9 to 507 of the family's 1533-position model. Lineage: Bacteria; Pseudomonadati; Pseudomonadota; Alphaproteobacteria. The record is from RNAcentral.